This 74-nucleotide transfer RNA is filed under the name Gemmatimonadota bacterium. RNAcentral's name for it is "Gemmatimonadetes bacterium (bioreactor metagenome) tRNA-Arg". It matches the Rfam family "tRNA". From Rfam's summary of the family: Transfer RNA (tRNA) molecules are approximately 80 nucleotides in length. Their secondary structure includes four short double-helical elements and three loops (D, anti-codon, and T loops). Lineage: Bacteria; Pseudomonadati; Gemmatimonadota. The record is from RNAcentral.
AGCUCCGUGGUCCAACUGAACAGGGCGCCCGGCUUCGAACCGGGAGAGUGAGGGUUUGCAUCCCUCCGGAGCUU